CUGCUUUAACCUCCACGUGCCAGUGAAUAGACAUUUGGAGAAGGGAGGAGAUUAAAAAAAGGAACGGAACCAAAUUUCCAAAUAUGUACUCAAGAGAGCCAGACUGAAAGAAGAUAAGAAAAAGGAAAGAAGAGAAAGACCAAGGGAUGGAAGGGAGGAAGGAUGAAAAUGUCUCAAGAAGGGAAGAGAGGGGAGAU
Molecule: long non-coding RNA, 197 nt
Filed under: Mustela putorius furo (domestic ferret)
Lineage: Eukaryota; Metazoa; Chordata; Mammalia; Carnivora; Mustelidae
Description: lncRNA (ENSMPUG00000030389.1)
Source: RNAcentral